RNAcentral lists this transfer RNA (68 nucleotides) under Haematopinus asini. RNAcentral describes it as "tRNA-Gln". Lineage: Eukaryota; Metazoa; Arthropoda; Insecta; Psocodea; Haematopinidae. The record is from RNAcentral.
UGAAAUGUAGCAUAUUUAUGCGAUAAAAUUUGAAUUUAUUCAUAGUAAUUAACCUUUACUCAUUUCAA